Molecule: ribosomal RNA, 497 nt
Filed under: uncultured bacterium
Lineage: Bacteria
Description: partial 16S ribosomal RNA
Rfam family: Bacterial small subunit ribosomal RNA
Source: RNAcentral
GAUGAACGCUGGCGGCGUGCCUAAUACAUGCAAGUCGAGCGAACAGACGAGGAGCUUGCUCCUCUGACGUUAGCGGCGGACGGGUGAGUAACACGUGGAUAACCUACCUAUAAGACUGGGAUAACUUCGGGAAACCGGAGCUAAUACCGGAUAAUAUAUUGAACCGCAUGGUUCAAUAGUGAAAGACGGUUUUGCUGUCAAUUAUAGAUGGAUCCGCGCCGCAUUAGCUAGUUGGUAAGGUAACGGCUUACCAAGGCGACGAUGCGUAGCCGACCUGAGAGGGCGAUCGGCCACACUGGAACUGAGACACGGUCCAGACUCCUACGGGAGGCAGCAGUAGGGAAUCUUCCGCAAUGGGCGAAAGCCUGACGGAGCAACGCCGCGUGAGUGAUGAAGGUCUUCGGAUCGUAAAACUCUGUUAUUAGGGAAGAACAAAUGUGUAAGUAACUAUGCACGUCUUGACGGUACCUAAUCAGAAAGCCACGGCUAACUACGUG